AGAGUUUGAUCCUGGCUCAGGACGAACGCUGGCGGCACGCUUAACACAUGCAAGUCGAACGAGAGAAGAGGAGCUUGCUUUUCUGAUCUAGUGGCGGACGGGUGAGUAACACGUGAGCAAUCUGCCUUUCAGAGGGGGAUACCGAUUGGAAACGAUCGUUAAUACCGCAUAACAUAAUUGAACCGCAUGAUUUGAUUAUCAAAGAUUUAUCGCUGAAAGAUGAGCUCGCGUCUGAUUAGCUAGUUGGUAAGGUAACGGCUUACCAAGGCGACGAUCAGUAGCCGGACUGAGAGGUUGAUCGGCCACAUUGGGACUGAGACACGGCCCAGACUCCUACGGGAGGCAGCAGUGGGGAAUAUUGCACAAUGGAGGAAACUCUGAUGCAGCGAUGCCGCGUGAGGGAAGAAGGUUUUAGGAUUGUAAACCUCUGUCUUCAGGGACGAAAAAAGACGGUACCUGAGGAGGAAGCUCCGGCUAACUACGUGCCAGCAGCCGCGGUAAUACGUAGGGAGCGAGCGUUGUCCGGAAUUACUGGGUGUAAAGGGAGCGUAGGCGGGAUCGCAAGUCAGAUGUGAAAACUAUGGGCUUAACCCAUAAACUGCAUUUGAAACUGUGGUUCUUGAGUGAAGUAGAGGUAAGCGGAAUUCCUAGUGUAGCGGUGAAAUGCGUAGAUAUUAGGAGGAACAUCAGUGGCGAAGGCGGCUUACUGGGCUUUAACUGACGCUGAGGCUCGAAAGCGUGGGGAGCAAACAGGACUAGAUACCCUGGUAGUCCACGCCGUAAACGAUGAUUACUAGGUGUGGGGGGACUGACCCCUUCCGUGCCGCAGCAAACGCAAUAAGUAAUCCACCUGGGGAGUACGACCGCAAGGUUGAAACUCAGAGGAAUUGACGGGGGCCCGCACAAGCAGUGGAGUAUGUGGAUUAAUUCGAAGCAACGCGAAGAACCUUACCAGGUCUUGACAUCGUAUGCAUAGCUCAGAGAUGAGUGAAAUCUCUUCGGAGACAUAUAGACAGGUGGUGCAUGGUUGUCGUCAGCUCGUGUCGUGAGAUGUUGGGUUAAGUCCCGCAACGAGCGCAACCCUUACUGUUAGUUGCUACGCAAGAGCACUCUAGCAGGACUGCCGUUGACAAAACGGAGGAAGGUGGGGAUGACGUCAAAUCAUCAUGCCCCUUAUGACCUGGGCCUCACACGUACUACAAUGGCUGUCAACAGAGGGAAGCAAAGCCGCGAGGUGGAGCGAACCCCUAAAAGCAGUCUUAGUUCGGAUUGUAGGCUGCAACCCGCCUACAUGAAGUCGGAAUUGCUAGUAAUCGCAGAUCAGCAUGCUGCGGUGAAUACGUUCCCGGGCCUUGUACACACCGCCCGUCACGCCAUGGGAGUCGGUAACACCCGAAGCCUGUAGUCUAACCGCAAGGAGGACGCAGUCGAAGGUGGGAUUGAUGACUGGGGUGAAGUCGUAACAAGGUA
RNAcentral lists this ribosomal RNA (1470 nucleotides) under metagenome. Its description in RNAcentral is "bacterial SSU rRNA". It matches the Rfam family "Bacterial small subunit ribosomal RNA". The record is from RNAcentral.